This 539-nucleotide long non-coding RNA is filed under the name Homo sapiens (human). RNAcentral describes it as "non-protein coding LINC01122:23". The record is from RNAcentral. Lineage: Eukaryota; Metazoa; Chordata; Mammalia; Primates; Hominidae.
AAUUAGCUAAACAAAGAAAUCAUGGCGGAUUGUUUACAUUUGGCAGCGCCCGGGCUGCGCCGACCGCCGGCCCCGAGCCGCCGCGGGCUCCGAGGAGUCGGCCGAGCUGCUCCCGCGCCCUGGCCGGACGUUUGAAACUAUUGCUUUGCUGAAAACAUCUGACUGCCAGGCUAGGAUGUGACACUUAAGGGACUUACCAAUUUGGGAUUCUUCCAGGAGCUGAAAACUGAUUGCAAAUAUGAAACAGAUUUCACUACAGGACUUGAACCCUACAUUAAAAAACAACAAGCUCCCCAAAAUAAUUGAAAAAGAUCUUCACCAAAGAGUAGCUGCAAUGUGAAUGGCAGGAUAUGAAGCAAGUAAGAGAUGGUGAAAAGAUUAUCUUAAGCUUGGAAUUAAGUGAUGAAAGGGACCUUCGAAAUUAUCAACUCUAAAUACUUCUUUACAGGAAAAUUGAAAGCAGUUAAGAACCUGCCCCCUACCGUGGAGUUCUUGGUGCCGUGAGUUGGAGUUCUUGGUGCCUGGGUGCGUCCCCAAGG